Molecule: ribosomal RNA, 422 nt
Filed under: uncultured bacterium
Lineage: Bacteria
Description: bacterial SSU rRNA
Rfam family: Bacterial small subunit ribosomal RNA
Source: RNAcentral
UAAGGAAUAUUGGUCAAUGGAGGCAACUCUGAACCAGCCAUGCCGCGUGCAGGAAGACGGCCCUCUGGGUUGUAAACUGCUUUUAUUCGGGAAUAAACCUACUUACGUGUAAGUAGCUGAAUGUACCGAAGGAAUAAGGAUCGGCUAACUCCGUGCCAGCAGCCGCGGUAAUACGGAGGAUCCAAGCGUUAUCCGGAUUUAUUGGGUUUAAAGGGUGCGUAGGCGGCCUAUUAAGUCAGGGGUGAAAGACGGUAGCUCAACUAUCGCAGUGCCCUUGAUACUGAUGGGCUUGAAUGGACUAGAGGUAGGCGGAAUGUGACAAGUAGCGGUGAAAUGCAUAGAUAUGUCACAGAACACCGAUUGCGAAGGCAGCUUACUAUGGUCUUAUUGACGCUGAGGCACGAAAGCGUGGGGAUCAAACA